This 276-nucleotide ribosomal RNA is filed under the name uncultured Lachnospiraceae bacterium. RNAcentral describes it as "partial 16S ribosomal RNA". It matches the Rfam family "Bacterial small subunit ribosomal RNA", at positions 63 to 339 of the family's 1533-position model. Lineage: Bacteria; Bacillati; Bacillota; Clostridia; Lachnospirales; Lachnospiraceae. The record is from RNAcentral.
UGAAGUUUUCGGAUGGAUUUCUGGUUGACUGAGUGGCGGACGGGUGAGUAACGCGUGGAUAACCUGCCUCACACUGGGGGAUAACAGUUAGAAAUGACUGCUAAUACCGCAUAAGACCACAGCACCGCAUGGUGCGGGGGUAAAAACUCCGGUGGUAUGAGAUGGACCCGCGUCUGAUUAGCUAGUUGGUAAGGUAACGGCUUACCAAGGCGACGAUCAGUAGCCGGUCUGAGAGGAUGAACGGCCACAUUGGGACUGAGAUACGGCCCAGACUCC